This 564-nucleotide ribosomal RNA is filed under the name Filobasidium uniguttulatum. RNAcentral describes it as "eukaryotic LSU rRNA". It matches the Rfam family "Eukaryotic large subunit ribosomal RNA", at positions 61 to 618 of the family's 3401-position model. Lineage: Eukaryota; Fungi; Basidiomycota; Tremellomycetes; Filobasidiales; Filobasidiaceae. The record is from RNAcentral.
GAAACUAACAAGGAUUCCCCUAGUAACGGCGAGCGAAGCGGGAAGAGCUCAAAUUUGAAAUCUGGUGGCCUCAGGUCAUCCGAGUUGUAAUCUAUAGAAGUGUUUUCCGUGCUGGCCCAUGUACAAGUCCCUUGGAACAGGGCGUCAUAGAGGGUGAGAAUCCCGUCCUUGACAUGGACUACCAGUGCUCUGUGAUACACUUUCAACGAGUCGAGUUGUUUGGGAAUGCAGCUCAAAAUGGGUGGUAAAUUCCAUCUAAAGCUAAAUAUUGGCGAGAGACCGAUAGCGAACAAGUACCGUGAGGGAAAGAUGAAAAGCACUUUGGAAAGAGAGUUAAACAGUAUGUGAAAUUGUUGAAAGGGAAACGAUUGAAGUCAGUCGUGCUCAAUGGACUCAGCCGUUCUGCGGUGUAUUUCCAUUGGGUGGGGUCAACAUCAGUUUUGAUCGCUGGAUAAAGGCAGGAGGAAUGUAGCACCCCCGGGUGAACUUAUAGCCUCUUGUCACAUACAGUGGUUGGGACUGAGGAACGCAGCAUGCCUUUAUGGCCGGGAUUCGUCCACGUAC